This is a non-coding RNA of Peromyscus maniculatus bairdii (prairie deer mouse), 586 nucleotides long. The record is from RefSeq and is a predicted model, not a curated record. NCBI's taxonomy places the organism in Eukaryota, Metazoa, Chordata, Mammalia, Rodentia, Cricetidae.
CCAGAACAGCUGUAACAAAGAACACAGACUCACUCGGCGACUUAAGCAAACUGUUCUGCAUGCUGGAAAUCUAAGAGCAAGCUGUUGAUAGGAUCUGGACGUGCUGCUAUGGGACUGUAACCUAUGGGACUGUAACCUCAGUGUUCCAGAGGCAGAGACAGGGAGACCACAAAGCUAAGGGGCAGGAAGAGCAGGCUCUCACUGCCUGCUCUGGCAACACUGGUGAGCUAUGCUUGAAGAGAACUCGGCUGUGGGCCUUCUGGGCAAGAUGUAACCAAGAGAAAGCGUUUGAAAAUGUUCUUGGAUGGGCAGUUCCCGGGCCCCUCCGUGCCUUCCUUCCUCAGAGGGAAGAGACUCAAGGGGGAAGAGGAAAAUCACAGCUUGCAAACUCAUGGUGAGAGGAGCCGGCGAGGCAGAGAGAAUGCACAACCCUGCCCAUCUCACAGAUGGAGAAAUCCAGGCCCCGAACAGCUCGGGGAUGUGUCCAGACAUGGCUGCCAGUGAGUCAGAGCCUAGAAAAGGAGGCAGUCUGCCUGCGCCAUGGGAGCUUUGUCCUCUGUGUUCAGUAAAGGCACUCGGGAACUGA